Molecule: long non-coding RNA, 1095 nt
Organism: Uranotaenia lowii
Lineage: Eukaryota; Metazoa; Arthropoda; Insecta; Diptera; Culicidae
Exons: 3
Source: RefSeq, a predicted model, not a curated record
GUGGCAGGAGUGGAAAAAAAGAACGGCCGAGUGAGAAAACAACACGUGAAGAAAGUGCGCGAGUCCGGUGUAAAGACUUUUCAUCCGAAUCGGGACAAAGUCCAGGAAGACGUAUUGACCAUUCGGGGCGACGAACUUCCGCCGUAUCUGAACCGGGAUUUCGUUUUGGAAAACGAGUGUGGCGUCGCGAUUCCCGAUAACAUCCGGACAGCGAGAGGAAGGAUCCGAGAAAGCGAGGUUAAGUUCAGGAAGACGGAACGACGAGUGAAGGACAGAGAGUCAGAGUCCAGUCCAGGAAUCGGGAAAAAACCGCGCACACACGCACAAGCGACCUCGUAAGCAACGUAAAACCACAGAGCACUCCAGUCGGAAGGCCAUCCGUUAUCUGUGCUUGCGCCAUCAGCACAACAGGCGUUUUAUCAACGAGUGCCACGACAUUUUUUUUGCCAGGAAUUUACCACUAGGUGGCAUUCUUCCCUAAGCACCAGCCACGGCAAGCGAGACGCGACAAGGUCGCAGGUGGCAAGACAGUGUCCGGGAGAGGCACUAGUAGCACGACAGUUGCGCCAAGAUCGAGCGUGGUGACCGGCACCACCGGUUACGCUCGACGAGAGAUGCGACAGGAUCGCGGGAGGCAAAAUAUUGUCCGGGAAAGGCGCUAGCAGCACGACAGGUGCGCCAAGAUCGAGCGUGGUAACCGGCAGCUCGGCGAGAGACGCGGCAGAGUCGCGUGAGGCGAGACAGUGGCCGGAAGAAGCGCUAGCAGUACGACAGGUGUUCCAAGAUCAAGUGCUGCGACCGACAGCACCAGCUACUCUCAGGUGAGAGGCGACGAAGCGUCCAAAAGAGGCGCCAUCAGUAACAAGACGCGCUCUGAGAUCGAGUGUGGUGGCCGGCAGCACCGGUUACAAGCGCUUAGCUCAGCCAUUUCGGUUGCGCUCCAUCGAGGCGUGACAGGGUCGCGUGUAGCGGCCUCCGCUUCCUACGGAAAAGCAGCGUUAGUGGAAGACUCAAACGGCCGCGCAAGCAUGAGGCGACACUGUGAGAUGCACGAUCCACGUGUAAUAUUCAACUUGCACUGAUAAUUCCGCUAUA